CAACCAUGGCAUUUAGUGAUGGAAUUGCCAGUUCCAGUUCUGAUUGAACCUGGAACAAGUGUCUACAAACGUGUUCUCAAGCAGCAUAGCAUCCCAGUGGAGGCUUCGUAAUGCAUCAACAAAGGAGUGAGGUUACCUUCGG
Notechis scutatus (mainland tiger snake) is the source of this 142-nucleotide non-coding RNA. Lineage: Eukaryota; Metazoa; Chordata; Lepidosauria; Squamata; Elapidae. The record is from RefSeq and is a predicted model, not a curated record.